UAUAAUGAAACGUGUGAAUUUGUCAAAAGAAACAAUCAGAAUGUCCUAUUUUUUGGGUUUUAGGUUUAUUGAGGGAUUUUGAUUUCGUUAGUAGCCAAAAACUAAAAUACACGAAGUUCCUAUUCUAAUUAGUAGCAAACCCCUAAACCAAUGUCUCAAAAAUUGAAAACAAUAAAAAAAUCCCAAAAUCGAAAACCCUAAACUAAAAUCCCCAAAAUAAAAAAAUCAUAAAGAAAAAUCCCCAAAAUCAAAAUAACCUAACCCCAAAUCCCUAAAUUCGACAACCUAAACAAAUAUCCCUAAACUAAAAGACCC
RNAcentral lists this long non-coding RNA (315 nucleotides) under Gossypium raimondii (Peruvian cotton). RNAcentral describes it as "long non-coding RNA (GRAI_LNC002043)". The record is from RNAcentral. Lineage: Eukaryota; Viridiplantae; Streptophyta; Magnoliopsida; Malvales; Malvaceae.